Molecule: ribosomal RNA, 1100 nt
Filed under: uncultured bacterium
Lineage: Bacteria
Description: bacterial SSU rRNA
Rfam family: Bacterial small subunit ribosomal RNA
Source: RNAcentral
UUGAACGCUGGCGGCAUGCCUUACACAUGCAAGUCGAACGGUAACGCGGGGCAACCUGGCGACGAGUGGCGAACGGGUGAGUAAUAUAUCGGAACGUGCCCAGUAGUGGGGGAUAGCCCGGCGAAAGCCGGAUUAAUACCGCAUACGACCUACGGGUGAAAGGGGGGGAUCGCAAGACCUCUCGCUAUUGGAGCGGCCGAUAUCAGAUUAGCUAGUUGGUGGGGUAAAAGCUCACCAAAGGCGACGAUCUGUAGCUGGUCUUGACAGGACGACCAGCCACACUGGGACUGAGACACGGCCCCAGACUCCUACGGGAGGCAGCCAGUGGGUAUUUUUGGACAAUGGACGCAAGUUCUGAUUCCAGCCCAUGCCGCCGUGCGGGAAGAAGGCCUUUCGGGUUGUUAACCGCUUUUGUUCAGGGGAAGGAAAUCCUUUUGAAUUAAUACUUUCGGAAGAAAAGAACAAUACCUGAAGAAAUAAGCACCCGGCUUAACUACGUGCCAGCAGCCGCGGUAAUACGUUAGGGUGCAAAGCGUUUAAUCGGAAUUACUGGGCGUAAAGGCGUGCGCAGGCGGUUCUAUAAGACAAGAAUGUGAAAUCUCCCGGGCUUCAACCUGGGAACUGCGAUUUGUGUACUGUGAAAGAGUCUGGAGUGCGGCAGAGGGGGUAUGGAAUUCCGCGCUGUAGCACAGUGAAAUGCGUAGAUAUGCGGAGGAACACCGAUGGCGAAGGCAAUCCCCUGGGCCUGCUACUAGACGCUCAUGCACGAAAGCGUGGGGAGCAAACAGAAUUAGAUACCCUGGUAGUCCACGCCCUAAACGAUGUCCCACUGGUUGUUGGGAAGGUUCCUUCUCAGUAACGUAGCUAACGCGUGAAGUUGACCGCCUGGGGAGUACGACCGCAAGGUUGAAACUCAAAGGAAUUGACGGGGACCCGCGCAAGCGGUGGAUGAUGUGGUUUAAUUCGAUGCAACGCGAAAAACCUUACCUACCCUUGACAUGUCAAGAAUUUCGCAGAGAUGUGGAAGUGCUCGAAAGAGAACUUGAACACAGGUGCUGCAUGGCCGUCGUCAGCUCGUGUCGUGAGAUGUUGGGUUAAGU